RNAcentral lists this ribosomal RNA (253 nucleotides) under uncultured bacterium. RNAcentral's name for it is "partial 16S ribosomal RNA". It matches the Rfam family "Bacterial small subunit ribosomal RNA", at positions 524 to 776 of the family's 1533-position model. The record is from RNAcentral.
UACGGGGGGGGAAAGCGUUGUUCGGAAUUACUGGGCGUAAAGGGCUCGUAGGCGGCCAACUAAGUCAGACGUGAAAUCCCUCGGCUUAACCGGGGAACUGCGUCUGAUACUGGAUGGCUUGAGGUUGGGAGAGGGAUGCGGAAUUCCAGGUGUAGCGGUGAAAUGCGUAGAUAUCUGGAGGACCACCGCUGGCGAAGGCGGCAUCCUGGACCACUUCUGACGCUGAGGAGCGAUAGCCAGGGGAGCAAACGGG